This 702-nucleotide ribosomal RNA is filed under the name uncultured bacterium. RNAcentral's name for it is "bacterial SSU rRNA". It matches the Rfam family "Bacterial small subunit ribosomal RNA", at positions 8 to 699 of the family's 1533-position model. The record is from RNAcentral.
AGAGUUUGAUCAUGGCUCAGAUUGAACGCUGGCGGCAGGCCUAACACAUGCAAGUCGAGCGGCAGCACAGGGGAACUUGUUCCCUGGGUGGCGAGCGGCGGACGGGUGAGUAAAGGCUGGGAACCUGCCCUGAUGUGGGGGAUAACAGUUGGAAACGACUGCUAAUACCGCAUGAUGUCUACGGACCAAAGAGGAGGACCUUCGGGCUUCUCGCGUCAGGAUGGGCCCAGUUGGGAUUAGCUAGUUGGUAGGGUAAUGGCCUACCAAGGCGACGAUCCCUAGCUGGUUUGAGAGGAUGAUCAGCCACACUGGAACUGAGACACGGUCCAGACUCCUACGGGAGGCAGCAGUGGGGAAUAUUGCACAAUGGGCGCAAGCCUGAUGCAGCCAUGCCGCGUGUGUGAAGAAGGCCUUCGGGUUGUAAAGCACUUUCAGCAGUGAGGAAGGUGGUGUAGUUAAUACCUGCAUCAUUUGACGUUAGCUGCAGAAGAAGCACCGGCUAACUCCGUGCCAGCAGCCGCGGUAAUACGGAGGGUGCGAGCGUUAAUCGGAAUUACUGGGCGUAAAGCGCAUGCAGGCGGUCUGUUAAGCAAGAUGUGAAAGCCCCGGGCUUAACCUGGGAACCGCAUUUUGAACUGGCAGGCUAGAGUCUUGUAGAGGGGGGUAGAAUUUCAGGUGUAGCGGUGAAAUGCGUAGAGAUCU